UUCCCAUGGUAACAUUAGUUUGACAGAUUACUUGGCAAAAUAUAAAGUCAUAGUGCUUAUUCUGUGAUUUGUGGCCGAAAAUACCGUAAAAUGGUACAGACUGAUCCUCCUGCUCCACCUGAACACAAUAAUAACCCAAUGGAAGAAAGGUUAAACCGUGAGUUAAGAUUAAUUGAAGCGAUGCUGGACGAAAUGAUAAGAGAAUUCAGUAACAUCAAUAGCAGAUUUCAGAUAUACCUAGCUAUUUUAGAUUCCAAACUAAAAGCUUACGAACUUAAGGACCAGUCUAAGAAGUAAUGUAAUGUAAUUAAUUUAUUAAAAAUUUCAAUAAAGAUUGUUUAUUAAUUUCAUCUAGUAUUCUUUAAACUUGUUUGUUUAAUCAUUAUGUAUCCAUCAUCAAGUAUUCUUUAAAUUAGGGUUACAGAAUGUUCAUUAGGUAUAAGAAAUAUCAAGUAAUUGUGAGCUUUUGUUUAAUCCAGAUGCAUCCACGUAAAUAUCCAUGGUAAUAUUUAUUUGACAGAUUACUUGUCAAAAUACAAAAGCUAGCAGUGCUGUGAAUUGUUGUAGCAAAUACAGUAAAAUGGUACAGAUUAAUCCUUCUCUUGGACCUAAAAAUGUAGGAGACUUGAUUGAAGAAAUGCUGGUCCAUAAGCUAAAGCUAAGGAUACUUCAAAUGAGAGUGAACAAUUUGUCAGAAGAAAUCCAUAACCUCAAAAACAAAGUACGGAGAUUCCAGGCUUUAUGGGAGUCCAUAUUAAAAGCUUACGAGCAUGAAGAUCAGCACAUGUAAUUUAGUGUAAUUAAUUUAAUUAAAAUUUCAAUAAAGAUUCUUUAUUAAUUCCAUUUAGUAUUCUUUAAACUAGGGUUAUGGAAUGCUCAAUAUGUAUAAGAAAUAUCAAAUGAUUCAGAUUUUGUAUAAUCCUCAUGCAUCCAGCAAAUACAGUGAAAUGAUACAGAAUGAUCGACCUUCCCGACCUCAACGCAUUAAUACCCCAUUGAAGAAAGGUUAAAUCACGAGUUCAACAUGAUGAAAGCGAGCCUGGAAGAUAUAAGAGAAUUCCAUAACUUUCAUAAUAAAUCUCAGAGAUACCAAGCUAUUUUAGACUCCAAACAAGAAGCUUACAAACUUAAAGACCAGUCUAAGAAGUAAUGUAAUGUAAUUUAGUAAAUAUUUCAAUAAAUAUUGUUUAUUAAUCUCAUCUAGUAUUCUUUAAACUUGUUUGUUUAAUCAUUAUGUAUCCAGGUAAAUAUCCAUGGUAAUAUUAGUUUGGCAGAUUACUCAUCAAAAUACAAAAACUAGUAGUGCUUGUUCUGCGAGUUGUAGUAGCAAAUACAGUGAAAUGGUAGAGAAGAAUCCUCAUCUCCGACUUCAACGCAUUAAACCAAUGGAUCAAAGAAUAGUCUAUGAGUUAAGGAUGAUGAUAGCCAGUCUGGAAAAUAUGAUAAGAGAAUUCGAAAACUACCAUAUCAAAUUGCAGAUAUACCAAGCUACUUUAGAAUCCAAACAAAAAGCUUACAAACUUAAAGAGCAGUCUCAGAAGUAAUGUAAUGUAAUUUAGUAAAUAUUUCAAUAAAUAUUGUUUAUUAAUUUCAUCUAGUAUUCUUUAAACUUGUUUGUUUAAUCAUUAUGUAUCCAGGUAAAUAUCCAUGGUAAUAUUCGUUUGGCAGAUUACUUGUCACAAUACAAAAACUAGUAGUGCUUGUUCACUGAAUUGUGGUAUCAAAUACAGUGAAAUGAUAGAGAAGAAUCCUCAUCUCCGACUUCAACGGAUUAAACCAAUCGAUGAAAGAAUACACUAUGAGUUAAGGAUGAUGAUAGCCAGUCUGGAAAAUAUGAUAAGAGAAUUCGAAAACUACCAUAUCAAAAUGCAGAGAUACCAAGCUACUUUAGAAUCCAAACAAAAAGCUUACAAACUUAAAGAGCAGUCUAAGAAGUAAUGUAAUGUGAUUUAGAAAAUAUUUCAAUAAAUAUUGUUUAUUAAUUUCAUCUAGUAUUCUUUAAACUUGUUUGUUUAAUCAUUAUGUAUCCAGGUAAAUAUCCAUGGUAAUAUUAGUUUGGCAGAUUACUCAUCAAAAUACAAAAACUAGUAGUGCUUGUUCUGCGAGUUGUAGUAGCAAAUACAGUGAAAUGGUAGAGAAGAAUCCUCAUCUCCGACUUCAACGCAUUAAACCAAUGGAUCAAAGAAUAGUCUAUGAGUUAAGGAUGAUGAUAGCCAGUCUGGAAAAUAUGAUAAGAGAAUUCGAAAACUACCAUAUCAAAUUGCAGAUAUACCAAGCUACUUUAGAAUCCAAACAAAAAGCUUACAAACUUAAAGAGCAGUCUAAGAAGUAAUGUAAUGUGAUUUAGAAAAUAUUUCAAUAAAUAUUGUUUAUUAAUUUCAUCUAGUAUUCUUUAAACUUGUUUGUUUAAUCAUUAUGUAUCCAGGUAAAUAUCCAUGGUAAUAUUUGUUUGGCAGUUUACUUGUCAAAAUACCAAAACUAGUAGUGCUUGUUCACUGAAUUGUGGUAUCAAAUACAGUGAAAUGAUAGAGAAGAAUCCUCAUCUCCGACUUCAACGGAUUAAACCAAUCGAUGAAAGAAUACACUAUGAGUUAAGGAUGAUGAUAGCCAGUCUGGAAAAUAUGAUAAGAGAAUUCGAAAACUACCAUAUCAAAAUGCAGAGAUACCAAGCUACUUUAGACUCCAAACAAGAAGCUUACAAACUUAAAGGCCAGCUUAAGAAGUAAUGUAAUGUAAUUUACUAAAUAUUUCAAUAAAUAUUGUUUAUUAAUUUCAUCUAGUAUUCUUUAAACUUGUUUGUUUAAUCAUUAUGUAUCCAGGUAAAUAUCCAUGGUAAUAUUCGUUUGGCAGAUUACUUGUCAAAAUACAAAAACUAGUACUGCUUGUUCUGCGAGUUGUAGUAGCAAAUACAGUGAAAUGGUAGAGAAGAAUCCUCAUCUCCGACUUCAACGCAUUAAACCAAUGGAUCAAAGAAUAGUCUAUGAGUUAAGGAUGAUGAUAGCCAGUCUGGAAAAUAUGAUAAGAGAAUUCGAAAACUACCAUAUCAAAAUGCAGAGAUACCAAGCUACUUUAGACUCCAAACAAGAAGCUUACAAACUUAAAGAGCAGCUUAAGAAGUAAUGUAAUGUAAUUUAGUAAAUAUUUCAAUAAAUAUUGUUUAUUAAUUUCAUCUAGUAUUCUUUAAACUUGUUUGUUUAAUCAUUAUGUAUCCAGGUAAGUAUCCAUGGUAAUAUUAGUUUGGCAGAUUACUCGUCAAAAUACAAAAACUAGUAGUGCUUGUUCUGUGAGUUGUAGUAACAAAUACAGUGAAAUGGUAGAGAAGAAUCCUCAUCUCCGACUUCAACGCAUUAAACCAAUGGAUCAAAGAAUAGUCUAUGAGUUAAGGAUGAUGAUAGCCAGUCUGGAAAAUAUGAUAAGAGAAUUCGAAAACUACCAUAUCAAAUUGCAGAUAUACCAAGCUACUUUAGAAUCCAAACAAAAAGCUUACAAACUUAAAGAGCAGUCUCAGAAGUAAUGUAAUGUAAUUUAGUAAAUAUUUCAAUAAAUAUUGUUUAUUAAUUUCAUCUAGUAUUCUUUAAACUUGUUUGUUUAAUCAUUAUGUAUCCAGGUAAAUAUCCAUGGUAAUAUUCGUUUGGCAGAUUACUUGUCAAAAUACAAAAACUAGUACUGCUUGUUCUGCGAGUUGUAGUAGCAAAUACAGUGAAAUGGUAGAGAAGAAUCCUCAUCUCCGACUUCAACGCAUUAAACCAAUGGAUCAAAGAAUAGUCUAUGAGUUAAGGAUGAUGAUAGCCAGUCUGGAAAAUAUGAUAAGAGAAUUCGAAAACUACCAUAUCAAAAUGCAGAGAUACCAAGCUACUUUAGACUCCAAACAAGAAGCUUACAAACUUAAAGAGCAGCCUAAGAAGUAAUGUAAUGUAAUUUAGUAAAUAUUUCAAUAAAUAUUGUUUAUUAAUUUCAUCUAGUAUUCUUUAAACUUGUUUGUUUAAUCAUUAUGUAUCCAGGUAAGUAUCCAUGGUAAUAUUAGUUUGGCAGAUUACUCGUCAAAAUACAAAAACUAUUAGUGCUUGUUCUGUGAGUUGUAGUAACAAAUACAGUGAAAUGGUAGAGAAGAAUCCUCAUCUCCAACUUCAACGCAUUAAACCAAUGGAUCAAAGAAUAGUCUAUGAGUUAAGGAUGAUGAUAGCCAGUCUGGAAAAUAUGAUAAGAGAAUUCGAAAACUACCAUAUCAAAUUGCAGAUAUACCAAGCUACUUUAGAAUCCAAACAAAAAGCUUACAAACUUAAAGAGCAGUCUAAGAAGUAAUGUAAUGUAAUUUAGUAAAUAUUUCAAUAAAUAUUGUUUAUUAAU
Molecule: long non-coding RNA, 4347 nt
Organism: Aethina tumida (small hive beetle)
Lineage: Eukaryota; Metazoa; Arthropoda; Insecta; Coleoptera; Nitidulidae
Exons: 2
Source: RefSeq, a predicted model, not a curated record